This 500-nucleotide ribosomal RNA is filed under the name uncultured bacterium. RNAcentral describes it as "partial 16S ribosomal RNA". It matches the Rfam family "Bacterial small subunit ribosomal RNA", at positions 30 to 523 of the family's 1533-position model. The record is from RNAcentral.
AUUGAACGCUGGCGGCAGGCCUAAAACAUGCAAGUCGAGCGGUAGAGAGAAGCUUGCUCCUCUUGAGAGCGGCGGACGGGUGAGUAAUGCCUAGGAAUCUGCCUGGUAGUGGGGGAUAACGUUCGGAAACGGACGCUAAUACCGCAUACGUCCUACGGGAGAAAGCAGGGGACCUUCGGGCCUUGCGCUAUCAGAUGAGCCUAGGUCGGAUUAGCUAGUUGGUGGGGUAAUGGCUCACCAAGGCGACGAUCCGUAACUGGUCUGAGAGGAUGAUCAGUCACACUGGAACUGAGACACGGUCCAGACUCCUACGGGAGGCAGCAGUGGGGAAUAUUGGACAAUGGGCGAGAGCCUGAUCCAGCCAUGCCGCGUGUGUGAAGAAGGUCUUCGGAUUGUAAAGCACUUUAAGUUGGGAGGAAGGGCAGUAAAUUAAUACUUUGCUGUUUUGACGUUACCGACAGAAUAAGCACCGGCUAACUCUGUGCCAGCCGCCGCGGUAA